RNAcentral lists this unclassified non-coding RNA (653 nucleotides) under Hevea brasiliensis (rubber tree). The record is from RNAcentral. Lineage: Eukaryota; Viridiplantae; Streptophyta; Magnoliopsida; Malpighiales; Euphorbiaceae.
GGUGGGAAUCAUCUUAACCAUACCAGCAUCACCCAUAUUAUUGCCCCCUAAUCCACUAGCUCCAGUACUACUUGGCAUUUCAAAAUAAGAACAUGAAGAUCUGACUUCAUCAGCAUAUAAGAAUGAGUUAUUUGAUGAAGGACGUCCACUGUUGCAUGGGUAUCUUGAAUCCGAGUCUGACUGAAGACCAGCUGAUUCUUGCAUCUUUUGUUUAGAGUUGGGCACUUCAGUGAGGGAAUCAACAAUACUAUCUGCAAGCUCAACCAAGAUAUUUUGACCGUUGUUACAACUAUCAAUUCCAUCUUUUAAGCUUAGAUGUCCUAGUCCAGAUUCCACCCUUCUGUCAUCAGUUAAAUUCGUUGGCACUACUCUGGAAACAUCAGAAAUUGUACUUGUUCCAACUCCAGAACCAGAACAUUUUUCUUCAUGAUUUUCUGCCUUGCAAAGAGCACUUUUUGCAAUAAGUGUACAUAAAGCUAGUUCAAACCGUUUCUUUUCGGUAGGGACCCAUAACUCGUCUGAGAUCAGUAGAGCAUUUAGUGUAGGAGCAGAAAGUUUUGGAAGGACCUCUUUCAACUCUAUAGCACCACUUUGACAUAAGUAUCCCCAACAAGCAUUUCUAACUCGUUCACCAUGUAAACCAUAAUCUUGGC